AUUGAACGCUGGCGGCAGGCCUAACACAUGCAAGUCGAGCGGAUGAAGGGAGCUUGCUCCUGGAUUCAGCGGCGGACGGGUGAGUAAUGCCUAGGAAUCUGCCUGGUAGUGGGGGAUAACGUCUGGAAACGGGCGCUAAUACCGCAUACGUCCUGAGGGAGAAAGUGGGGGAUCUUCGGACCUCACGCUAUCAGAUGAGCCUAGGUCGGAUUAGCUAGUUGGUGGGGUAAAGGCCUACCAAGGCGACGAUCCGUAACUGGUCUGAGAGGAUGAUCAGUCACACUGGAACUGAGACACGGUCCAGACUCCUACGGGAGGCAGCAGUGGGGAAUAUUGGAAAAUGGGCGAAAGCCUGAUCCAGCCAUGCCGCGUGUGUGAAGAAGGUCUUCGGAUUGUAAAGCACUUUAAGUUGGGAGGAAGGGCAGUAAGUUAAUACCUUGCUGUUUUGACGUUACCAACAGAAUAAGCACCGGCUAACUUCGUG
Molecule: ribosomal RNA, 484 nt
Filed under: uncultured bacterium
Lineage: Bacteria
Description: partial 16S ribosomal RNA
Rfam family: Bacterial small subunit ribosomal RNA
Source: RNAcentral